CAUUUCCUCCUCGAUUAAUUUCUUUUUCGUGUGACUCUCUCUCUCUCGGUUGCGAUUUCAUCGACGAGACAAACGAUGAAUUUGGAAUCAGAAGCUUGAAUCAAUUGGAAACGAUGAAUUUGAUAACAGGAGUCGAUUAAAUCGGUAGAGAGGUUGAAUCAAUUGGAAUCAGAAAGGUGGUGAGUUGUUUGAUAGGAUCGUCAAGAGAGGUCAUUACAGUGAGAGAGAAGCUGCUAAGCUUAUCAAAACUAUUGUUCGGGUCGUUGAGGCUUGUCCUCUCUGUUUUCUGCAAACCAGAAUAUGAGAAUCGGGAACCACGGGGCGUUACAGUUGGCAGGCGUUGGUGCUUGGAGGGGUUUUCAGCCCUAUCAUGGUAGCAGCUGGUCGGAAAAACGGGCUUUGGUCAUUUGGAUUGUUCGGUCUUGCUAUAGGUUUGAUGGGGUUGUUUGCGGUGGGAUUGCCAGAGACUAGAGGGAGUGAUCUAUGCGACACUAUGGACGAGGAAGAGUGCAAAGAUCAGCGGAGCAAAAACGAUAACACCGAUAGGGUGAUUGUUGCAUGAUAUAUGAUAUGUAAACUUAUAUAUUAAUGUAGAAUCAAAUAUUAAUCACGUGAUUAAUUAUCAUUUUGUUUAUCUAACUUUAAGCUCAAUGACACUACACCUAUACGUAGGACAUUUAUUUUUUA
Molecule: long non-coding RNA, 687 nt
Organism: Camelina sativa (false flax)
Lineage: Eukaryota; Viridiplantae; Streptophyta; Magnoliopsida; Brassicales; Brassicaceae
Source: RefSeq, a predicted model, not a curated record